This 468-nucleotide ribosomal RNA is filed under the name uncultured bacterium. RNAcentral's name for it is "partial 16S ribosomal RNA". It matches the Rfam family "Bacterial small subunit ribosomal RNA", at positions 28 to 507 of the family's 1533-position model. The record is from RNAcentral.
GACGAACGCUGGCGGCGUGCUUAACACAUGCAAGUCGAACGGAAAGGCCCUGCUUUUGUGGGGUGCUCGAGUGGCGAACGGGUGAGUAACACGUGAGUAACCUGCCCUUGACUUUGGGAUAACUUCAGGAAACUGGGGCUAAUACCGGAUAGGAGCUCCUGCUGCAUGGUGGGGGUUGGAAAGUUUCGGCGGUUGGGGAUGGACUCGCGGCUUAUCAGCUUGUUGGUGGGGUAGUGGCUUACCAAGGCUUUGACGGGUAGCCGGCCUGAGAGGGUGACCGGCCACAUUGGGACUGAGAUACGGCCCAGACUCCUACGGGAGGCAGCAGUGGGGAAUAUUGCACAAUGGGCGGAAGCCUGUUGCAGCAACACCGCGUGCGGGAUGACGGCCUUCGGGUUGUAAACCGCUUUCGCCUGUGACGAAGCGUGAGUGACGGUAAUGGGUAAAGAAGCACCGGCUAACUACGUG